UCGGAAUUACUGGGCGUAAAGCGUGCGCAGGCGGUUCGUUAAGUCAGAUGUGAAAGCCCCGGGCUCAACCUGGGAACUGCAUUUGAAACUGGCGGGCUUGAGUAUGGCAGAGGGGGGUGGAAUUCCGCGUGUAGCAGUGAAAUGCGUAGAGAUGCGGAGGAACACCGAUGGCGAAGGCAGCCCCCUGGGCCAAUACUGACGCUCAGGCACGAAAGCGUGGGGAGCAAACAGG
This 232-nucleotide ribosomal RNA is filed under the name uncultured bacterium. Its description in RNAcentral is "partial 16S ribosomal RNA". It matches the Rfam family "Bacterial small subunit ribosomal RNA", at positions 545 to 776 of the family's 1533-position model. The record is from RNAcentral.